GCCCAGGAUAGAAGGGAAUUCACGGUCCACCCGGGCUGCAGGCCCCUUUCAGCAGGACUGCUCUCUGGUCACACAGACCCUACCCAGUACUGGGCUCUCUGGUUCUGUUGUCCCUUUGUUAAACUUCAUACAAUUCUUGCUUGCCCACUCUUCUAGCCUGUCCAGUUCUCUCUGUGAGGUGGCUUUCCCUUCUGACAUGUCCACUUCACCACCCAUUCUAGUGUCAUCAGUAAAUUUGGUGAAAAUACUUUCGAUCUAAUCAUCCAGACCAUAUACGAAGACACUGAAAAGCAUGGGGCCCAGGAUCGAUACUUGAGGGUCCAUAUUUGUGACAAGCUGCCAGUCUGAGUAAAAACCACUGAGCACCACUUUCUAAGUGUGGCCUGUUACACAAUCUUCUACUCAUUUUGAAGACCACUCAUCCAGUCUCUCUCUUUAGUUUGCCUAGGAAUAGGCUGCAGGAAACAGUGUAAAAUGCCUUGCUGAAAUUCAGGCAAACAACAUGCACUGUUCUCCCUUUGUGAACAGAAAUGGUUUCUUUCUUGCUGAAAGUGAUCAGUUUAGUCAAGCAUGAUUUAUCUUUGGAAAAUCCUUGUUGGCUUUUCUCAAGCAUGAGCUCAGUUUGGUUUGUAAUAGUUUCUAAGAGGAGGCUCACUGAACCACUCUUAUUAAACCAUAACUUUUUUCACACACAGGGUAAAAGCUGACUUACCCAAGGUUUGUAGAGUUUACUGAUUCAUAGCUUUAAGUAAAAAAAUACACAGUUCGCUAAAAUGUUUAUUUUUAAUUUGUAUUGCAUUAAACAAAAAUAUGCGUGCAUUUAUUUUAACUGGCGUGUUUAUUUGAUCAAUGGAUUUUUCUGGGUCAUUAAUUUAUGGAGACUCCCAUGACGCGUGAGCACUUACGUUAACUGGCUUAACCUUUGCAUGGUCUUUGUGGUCAUAAAGUAUUAAACUUUUUUAGCAAAGUCUUUCUUUGGAAUUGUCAGAAAUGAUUUAUGUAUUCUGCCCUUUAUAUAUCUGCUUUUAAAAUUUACCAGACAAAUACCAGCUAUGAAGAUUUGUGUGUCUGGUACUUCAGUACUUCUUCAUAUAAGAUAAGCACGACUGAAUAUGUCUGUCUUCAGACCCCUGCCAUGGAUCUCAGCUGCAUUUAUGCAAUCUGUCAUCAAACUGGUAUGCAUGUUCAACAAAACACUGAAGGCAUUUUGACAUCUACAUGCUUCAUAUAAGUAACUAGAACUUGUAAGACUAGAGGAGGGUACUAGACUGUGGGACGACCCUGUAGCUGACCACCAUCCAAGCAUCUUGGACAGAGCUGCAGGGGUGCAAAGCGACAGAGCACCCACUGGGAGUAGGACAGAUGGGCAUCCACAAAUGCUCACAACAAAAGGUCGAGGUUAGGUAAGUGGAAAGAUAUAAAGCCAUACAUAUUACUAUCAUCUUUUUCUCUACAUACGUUUUUAAACCAUAACACUUUGUUUGAAAGAUGCUGUUUGUAAGACACUAACAGUUAACAGUAAUACUGAUUCCCAAAGGAAGUUGUUCUGAUCUCCCAAAUUCAGAUAAGCUUUCCAUGUCAAAAUGGCUCCAAAACUGCUCAACAUUUCAUCAUAAUAAUUGUCCUUUUCCAAUGCAAAUAACUAUGUUGUCAUCCAUGGCUUCAUCUCACUGAUGAGACGGACUCAAGUAUAGGAUAAACAGGUACAAACAUCAUAGAUCCAGAAUCUUGAACUUAGUCCCCUUUUUCUGCCUAUAAAUCAGAGGAAGAAUUUUUCCAACCAGUCGUGGUCUGCAAAGGUAAGAUAUGUUAUGGAGCAUCAGUUAUUCAGAACCACAAUAACAAUAGUCAUUUAAGAUAAGAAGAAAGAGAAGAAAAGGAAUUGGAACAAAUAUUUUUACUACCAAGAGUACAGUGCUCUGGCAAAAAAAUUUGUGUGAUAA
Molecule: long non-coding RNA, 1943 nt
Filed under: Numida meleagris (helmeted guineafowl)
Lineage: Eukaryota; Metazoa; Chordata; Aves; Galliformes; Numididae
Description: lncRNA (ENSNMEG00000021968.1)
Source: RNAcentral